ACAAGUGUAUUGAAAAUAUUUAUUUGAAAUACGGUACCUGGAGUGAUUAAUUGAAGCAAAGUAUAAUAAUUUAAGUAAAUGAUUAGAAAUCACUUUAUGGAAAUAAUAUUCAAGCGUAUACAAAAAAAUACAUAGGAUAAACUACACAAUGACUGGCACUUUAAGUUAAAACUCUAUUUAAAAAGAUUAAAAGGACAAAAAAUUAUAUCAAAUAUUUAUCGUUGGUACAUUUAACAUGGUGAUUAAAAUCCUUAACAUUUUUAACAAGAUUAUCAACUGAAAACCAAGCUCUUGAACUUAUAAGUAUGUAAUAUUUAACAUGCAAAAAUUUGCUCACACACACACGCUCGAAUGAAUUACGAUAGGGGAUAAAUUACCUCAGAUGCAUAACAAUUUUAUUAAAACUUAAUGUUGCUACCAACAACGAAAUUUAUUGAUGAAACAAUUAUCGCAAUAAAGUAUGUACCUACGCCAAAACACAGCUUCAAAAUAUAUGUAUAAAAUACAAUAUUCGAAUGUGAUUAUAACUCGCAACGAAU
Non-coding RNA from Osmia lignaria (orchard mason bee), 539 nucleotides. NCBI's taxonomy places the organism in Eukaryota, Metazoa, Arthropoda, Insecta, Hymenoptera, Megachilidae. The record is from RefSeq and is a predicted model, not a curated record.